ACUGGAAAGUAAGUUAGCAAAAGAAAAUAUUAGGUUAGAAGUGGGAAGUAUAUUAGGAUUGCAUUCAGAACACAUAGGAUAUAAAGCAAUAUAAACAUAUUUAAAAAACACUGGGUUAAUAAAAGAAUAUAGAGUAGGGAUCCACCUCGGUCCACACUCCAUUACAGUAGGUGGCGCUAAUGCACACCACAAGGUUGCUUGCCAACCGCCAUAAAAACAAAAGAAGAAGAAGAAGUCAGUCUUAUUAUUUGUUCUCCAGUUUGAAAUAUUUACGUCGUAUAAAAUACAUCUUUGAUUCUUUAUUCAAGGAUAAACAUCGUCUCGAUGCGCUAGAAGCACUGUGCCGCUUCUCGUGCUAGCUUUGCUUGUUAGUUAGCUUAGCUGGCUAGUUAGCUUAGCUUGUUAGCUGCUAACAGAAGACACAGAAGUUAUCAACACAUCGCUAAGUAGAGAUCAAGUGUGAGAGUAAAGUGUUGUGAUUGUGUGAAAAUGUCUACAUUACAAAUGUUGAGAGCGUUGGUGGAUCAGCGACUAACUGCUGCCGUUGAAGAAAUAUUUGUAGUGUUAGAAAGAACGAUAGCAGAAUACGAGGCGGAACUUUCUAGAACAAAAGAGGAUUACAAUCAACUACUGGACGCUGUUUUCACGAAGCAUCAAGUUGUGUUACACAAAACAGAUUGCUCCACCCACUUCCUCUUGAGUGCCAGGAAAUGUUGACAGGGAUGGGACCGUUGCUAUGGUGCAGUUGCCAUGGUAACGUGAUUUAAUUGGGUUCAGGUAGGAGUAUUCGGGGCGAUUGCAUGGAGGACACAAACAGUUUAGGACGGUGCCGUGCGUGGUCAGGUCUCGCUGCUGUGACAAUGUUCCAUUCAAGCCAAGAUAUUUCCACAGUACUGGACAUUGAAUUGAGCCACUCACGACUUCAUCUGGGACACAAAGGACAAGACAAAACGUGAAAGACAGCUUUAAGGACUUCAACACAAAAUGUGUGCAUCCUUUCUAACGGCCACUGGGGGGCAGUAGAGGUAACUAUUCCAGCAAGGUUUUCCAAAGUGUUUUACAAGGUCUGACUCCAAUUGCCUACCUGGUCUGUGUGACUACACUCUGGCAACCCAUGUUGUCUGAUAUAGUCCUCAAACAUACAUUUUGCUACUGUAAAGACACGCUGGAAAAGGUUGACAUAGCGUGUAAAGUAGUCUUUAAACCACAAGUACACACCUGUUGUCCUGAGAUGUAACAGGUAACUCAGUAAUAUUCAUAGCAGCAGAUCUUAUCAUGUUGAAAUGUACCAUCUUUAUCUUUCAUGAUGGUCACUUACCAUGACUUGAUUAACGUGGACCCCAACUUAAACAAGUCGAAAAACUUAUUUGGGUGUUAACAUUUAGUGGUCAAUUAUACGGAAUAUGUACUGUAAUGUGCAAUCUACUAAUACAAGUAAUCAAUCACUGCGGUUAAGUGGCUUGAAACAAGCGUCCAGUCAAUGUUUGGCUUUACCGUGUCUGAUUUCACAUUUCACUUUCCUUUUCUUGGAUGCUUUGCCACCUGAAGAUUCAGCCUCACACUUUUCCUCUCCUCCCACUUUUAGUAGUUUGGCCACAGCGAUUCAUUCACAUGAAUUGUUUCAGCUUUAGUUUUUACUUCCUGAACCAACCCUGGCUUGGAAUUUAUCCCUGGCUUGGACUCUAAC
Long non-coding RNA from Nerophis ophidion (straightnose pipefish), 1687 nucleotides. RefSeq lists it as uncharacterized. The transcript has 3 exons. The record is from RefSeq and is a predicted model, not a curated record. Lineage: Eukaryota; Metazoa; Chordata; Actinopteri; Syngnathiformes; Syngnathidae.